This is a long non-coding RNA of Cyprinodon tularosa, 514 nucleotides long. RefSeq lists it as uncharacterized. The record is from RefSeq and is a predicted model, not a curated record. The transcript has 2 exons. NCBI's taxonomy places the organism in Eukaryota, Metazoa, Chordata, Actinopteri, Cyprinodontiformes, Cyprinodontidae.
GUGAAAUCACACUAAUGGACCAAGCUACACUCACUGCCGAUACACAAAUUGAGAAAAAAAAUCAUCUGUUGAGCUAAUAAACCGGAUAAAGAAGAUUUUAUGAGCCUUGAGGAAGAGAGAAGAACUACUUCAACCACAUCUAAGCCCUCCGAACUCCGAUUGGUUUUAUUUUUCUGCUGGAUCAGGAGUCGAUCUGCAUGAAUUCUGAACCUUCUGUGGUUCAGUGGCGAGCCAAGCGACAGGAAGCGGAGAAUGGGAUCCACUCCACGAGGACUACAGAAAUCUACCAACUUCUCUGAUACAGAUAAGCGCGCUCAAUAGAAACAAUUUAAAAAAAACUACCCGGGUAGUAGAAGAAUAUAUAAACAGACACACACACACACACCACAAGGAUCUAAGCUUUUUCUUCUGACACAGAAGAAAAGGACACUUUUAUUUGAACUUUUUUUUCUAUUUUUGUUUUGUUAUCAAAGAGCUCUAUUUUGUUGGGGUUUUUUCCCCCUAAUUCUUUGUA